Molecule: ribosomal RNA, 240 nt
Filed under: uncultured bacterium
Lineage: Bacteria
Description: partial 16S ribosomal RNA
Rfam family: Bacterial small subunit ribosomal RNA
Source: RNAcentral
GAUCCUGGCUCAGGAUGAACGCUAGCUACAGGCUUAACACAUGCAAGUCGAGGGGAAACGACAUCGAAAGCUUGCUUUUGGUGGGCGUCGACCGGCGCACGGGUGAGUAACGCGUAUCCAACCUGCCCACCACUUGGGAAUAACCUUGCGAAAGUAAGACUAAUACCCAAUGAUAUCUCUAGAAGGCAUCAGAAAGAGAUUAAAGAUUUAUCGGUGAUGGAUGGGGAUGCGUCUGAUUAG